Molecule: non-coding RNA, 199 nt
Filed under: Vibrio caribbeanicus ATCC BAA-2122
Lineage: Bacteria; Pseudomonadati; Pseudomonadota; Gammaproteobacteria; Vibrionales; Vibrionaceae
Description: Vibrio caribbenthicus ATCC BAA-2122 GcvB RNA
Rfam family: GcvB RNA
About the family: The gcvB gene encodes a small untranslated RNA involved in expression of the dipeptide and oligopeptide transport systems in Escherichia coli.
Source: Rfam by way of RNAcentral
CAGCAAGGAGUCAGAACGGCUUGAUUCUUUGAAUCAAUUGACAUUUUGUUGCGAUGUUGUGUUUGCAAAACUCGUAUUUCGAGUUCGGUAGGUUUCUACCAGUUUCGUUUCCAAAAGAAUCGGAACAUAUACUUCCUGUAUUUAUUUUGACCUGUCUGUCAAAUUUUUUAGCACCGCCUAUAAGGCGGUGUUUUUUUAU